RNAcentral lists this unclassified non-coding RNA (986 nucleotides) under Hevea brasiliensis (rubber tree). The record is from RNAcentral. Lineage: Eukaryota; Viridiplantae; Streptophyta; Magnoliopsida; Malpighiales; Euphorbiaceae.
CAUUUGGCAUAUACUCGUAAACCAAUACGUUGCAAUCCAAGCUCGAGACAUAACUGUACAAUUUGACUAUUUUCUUGUGCCUUACACUUCCCAGGGUCCCAACCUCAGUGUUCAAUUGCUUGUCCAUACGCAGCCGAUCUUCUGAAGCUGAAUCUUUCGUUCUCUUACUCCAUAGCCUCUUUGCUGCAACAACUUCCCCACUUCUCAAUUGAAUUUUGUACACAGUCCCAGAUCCUCCUUGGCCCACUUUGUUUUUAUCAACCAUGCCUUCCAGUAUCUCUUGUGGGUCAAAACUAAUUCGAUGGAAGCUCUUCACAUUGUAUGAAAAGAAUGAUGAAUACAUGGUUUCAUCACGUCCCAUGAACCUUUCUUUACUCAGUUUACGUUUCAGAAACAAGACAGCCCCAACUAUUAUGAUAACCACUGAAACUCCGAUCACCCAAAUAGAAUAUAGUCUCUUUCUUUUAUAAGUCUGUGAGCAUAUGGGGAAACCUUGAUCUGAUGAAACAGAGACUGGAACACAAAGACCUGGGUUGCCUGAGAAACUCUCUAACAGCCCACCCUUUAUCAGAGAUAGAGGAAUUGGACCAGAAAGACGAUUGUUUGAAAAGUUGAUAGAAUUUGGCAACAACACACUGAGACUUUCGGGGACAUUUCCGGUCAACUUGUUGUUGGAGAGAUCAAGAACAUUAAGAGAUUUCAACAUAGAAAUUGAAUUGGGGAUGGAAGAAUUCAGCAUGUUGCCUUGAAGCAUUAGUAAAUUUAGCUUUGUCAGAAAGCCAAUUUGAAAAGGUACCGGCCCAGAUAGGAGAUUAUUGCUAACAUCAAUCUUCACCAGAUUGAUAGCACCAGAAAUUUCAGGAGGUAGAAGUCCUGAAAUCUUGUUGCUUUGCAAGAACAAUUCUGUCAAGUUUCUAGCAGUUCCUGUAGUAGUUGCAAUUGAACCGCUAAAGUUAUUGUAACUCAGAUCAAUGAUUGAAACAUGA